Molecule: long non-coding RNA, 2870 nt
Filed under: Mus musculus (house mouse)
Lineage: Eukaryota; Metazoa; Chordata; Mammalia; Rodentia; Muridae
Description: long non-coding RNA chr6:145947075-145949945
Source: RNAcentral
GAGUGGCCUGCCCUCCUGUCCUGUCCCAUGUAAAUGAGACAAAUCUUAGCAACUGUUCCUGGCUGGACGAUUCUUUCACUAUAUAGAGCUUUGUGCGUGAUAGAAUAGAAGUCAGUAUUCUGAGCCUGAUUAAUGAAACUGAGACCCUUUUUUCAGGUUUAUAGUUAAAGCCCUGCAUUUAAUGCCCACGCCGGAUGCUUCCUGUCUCUUCCUGUUUGGUUCAAUCUUGAGCCCUCAGACCGGUUUUCAGCCGUUCUCUCUGUUUCCUGUUAUUUCUGUCCUCUGUCAAUGUCUUGUGUACUAAGUUUGGCUGGAACUAUUGUGUUUCCAAAAAAAAAAAACAAAACAAAACAAAUCAAAACAGUAAUACUAACUUUGGAUCUGGUAUGGCCAGAAACUAUUUUUCUCAUUGAGCAGUUUGUUUGUUGUUCAGCAUCUAUUCACGCUCACCUCUAUGACAUUAUCUCAAGUAACUAGAAAUAUACAAAGCACACUGCAUGCAGUCACUGAGAUUGGCAUCUCCUGGGCAGGUGGUAAUAAACAGGCCUAUAGCAGAAACAGAACAAAGCAGAAAAAGAAGUUUUCUGUCACCAGAUGUUUGCUAACUGUUCGUGCCAACGUUGUGGAGAGGUGUCUAAGAAGUGCGCCCUGCAGAAGGCUAGGCUAUGACAUGAAUGGAUUGAUUCGUUUGUUUGCUUGAUGCUAUUUAUCAGCUGCCCUGUGUUCGCCGUGUCGCCGGCUUUAUGCUAAGCUCUCUCUCUAUGCUCUCCCUUCAGCAGUGUAGGAAGCAGGCCUCACUGAUGUCCUAGACAUAGAACUGCCAGAUACAGUGCUAAGUCUCCCUCUUUAGCUGGGGGGCCCAUCUCACCACAGAACCACGGGCCAACAGGAUGUUUCAUCCUGUGCCCUUGGUCCAUGCAUGUCACAUAUGUAGCUGUGAGGUCUUGGGUCAUGUGCAGUGGAUCUGUGCUGAUGAAGAAGGGAGCUAGCAAGACCCAUGUAAGAAGCGACUCCACUGGCGUAUGUGUGCACGCAUGUCUGUGCAAGCACUAAUGCUGGAUGUUGAGCUCUUGGUUGUCUGUGGUUCUCAGUCACUGCUGCCUCACUGGGCCCCUUUACACUUAAGGAUACCUUAGGGUCAUCAAGGUAGAGAUUUGGGUCUUGACUCCUCACUGUGGAGUUGCAAGCCUCCAAGAGUCCGUGGUACACAGUGGCGUCACAGUGAACACUUGUUAAACAGAGUGAGACCGUGCCUAAGAUGUCACAGGGUGCUUUUGUUUAUUUUGCAUAUAUUUUUCUUUUUCAGCUCAGAUUUCAGAGUAAGUCCCUGGGAGAGACUGAGGUCAUGUGAGAUGGGAAACAAAAUAGUGCCUGCCGAGGUUCCCGGGUGGGAGUCACCUAAAAGUCUUUAAAACAGUUUACACUUUAGCAAGAAUUACUUUCUCCAUUGAGUUUUAGAGACAGGAGUCUCCCUGGCUGACUUGGACCCCCUGUGCUUCACAUAUGGCCCAGUCAUUCAAGGGAGGAGCAGGAGCUGGCAGGCUCCACAGAUCUCUGUGCCACUGGCUGCCAGGACUCCUCCUGGGAGAUCCUGUGGCCCCUGUGGGGGCAGGGACAGGUGGUGUGCCCUGAUGUCACGUUGGUGAGGUUGCUCCUCAGGCUUCUCAUUGAGUUUUCUGCUCCUUGUCUAUAAAGCAGAGCCACUGACUGUGACCUCCCAGGAUGCUUGUGAAUGUGAAAUAGAAGCCAGGCGUGGUGCACAUUUGAGAACCCACCGCUUAGGAGGCAGAGACAGGAGGAUCAGGAGUUCAAGGUCACAUUCAGCUGCAGAGUGAGUUAGAGGCCAGCCUGGAUUAUGGGAAACUCUGGAAAGUAACAACAAAACAAACAAAAGAAACAGGAUAAUUUGCACCCUUUGCUUACUGAGGUACCUAGCAUUGAAAAUUGCUUGCUCUCAGCCCAUUGUUAAAUCAUCCAGGCAUGGACUUUUCCUCAUAUAAAUAUCAAGAGCAUGCCCAGUGACCACUUACAUGGAUACUAAUUAAAAGACAGAGUACAUGUAACCAACAGUGUCGGCUUUGAGCCUGGCUAUCCUGGCAGUACAUUUGGGACCUCUUAAUGGACUAGAAACAUGAUCUCCGACAGCCAUGGUAAUGAUGGCAUUAGUAAUCACCAGCUAAUGAUAUAUCAUCAAUCAAUAGUGGCCUCAGGCUGGGCUGUAUAGAAGGAUUACCCCAGGUGCCUUCUUUACAUUCUUAUUAGUCGUCAGAUUAACCAUCACGACAAAGUACUGUUGCAGAUGGAGGAACUGAGAACAGGGAGAAUCAGUUAAAGCCAGGCAUGGUGGUGCAUGCUUGCAGCCCUGGCACUCAGGAAGUAAAGACAGGAAGAGUUCAAAGCCAGUCCUAGCUACAUAGUGACAUCACCAGCCUGGGUUUCAAGAGAUUCUGUCUCAGGUGAAGGUAGGGACUGUACUUCACCAGUAAAGAGAUAGAAUCAAAAUUCAAGCUCUUUUCCCACCAUGCAGCACUGUAACCACGUGCACAGUCUCAUACAUGACUUUCAACUGAACCAAGCAGCCCGUUCUCACUUGUUGAAGGAACUCUGGCUCAGUGUUUCAUGGUUUUGGAUGAUAUUUUUCCUUUCUUGUGUGUAUUCUAAAGUGAAGGACCUAUUUCUGUGCCUUGUUAUUGUGCAUCUAUCUAAAUCUGUAAUGAAAAGUGAGGCCAUGAUAACAGACAGAAGCUGUCCAUCACAAUCCCAUUGUUCUCGCUGCCUCCACGUUCUGGAAGGUUCUGGGAGCAUCUCUGAAUUCUUAGCAUGUGUGGCAUGCCAUCCUGAGACAUGGGAUGGUUAUCACACACACAACC